GCGAACCACCGCGGUGACUACCCUGUAGCAGACGCCGCUAACCGCUUACUGGCCCGACCAUCUUUCCUGCUUUCUCUAGCCAUAAUAAUGACCACUCGAAUUGCUCCUGGUGUGGGAGCGAAUUUGCUGGGCCAACACUCGGCUGAGAGGAAUCAAGACGCCACCGCUUACGUCGGCAAUCUUGAUCCUCAGGUGACUGAAGAAUUGCUCUGGGAGUUAUUUGUUCAAGCAGGCCCUGUUGUUAACGUGUACGUUCCAAAGGAUAGAGUAACCAAUCUUCAUCAAGGAUAUGGAUUUGUGGAAUUCCGUAGCGAAGAAGAUGCUGACUAUGCAAUUAAGGUUUUGAAUAUGAUUAAGCUUUAUGGGAAGCCAAUACGUGUAAAUAAGGCAUCGCAAGAUAAGAAGAGCUUGGAUGUAGG
RNAcentral lists this unclassified non-coding RNA (419 nucleotides) under Hevea brasiliensis (rubber tree). The record is from RNAcentral. Lineage: Eukaryota; Viridiplantae; Streptophyta; Magnoliopsida; Malpighiales; Euphorbiaceae.